Molecule: ribosomal RNA, 733 nt
Filed under: uncultured Flavobacterium sp.
Lineage: Bacteria; Pseudomonadati; Bacteroidota; Flavobacteriia; Flavobacteriales; Flavobacteriaceae
Description: bacterial SSU rRNA
Rfam family: Bacterial small subunit ribosomal RNA
Source: RNAcentral
GAGGCCUAACACAUGCAAGCCGAGCGGUAUUUGUUCUUCGGAACAGAGAGAGCGGCGUACGGGUGCGGAACACGUGUGCAACCUGCCUUUAUCUGGGGGAUAGCCUUUCGAAAGGAAGAUUAAUACCCCAUAAUAUACUGGAUGGCAUCAUUCGGUAUUGAAAACUCCGGUGGAUAGAGAUGGGCACGCGCAAGAUUAGAUAGUUGGUGAGGUAACGGCUCACCAAGUCUGCGAUCUUUAGGGGGCCUGAGAGGGUGAUCCCCCACACUGGUACUGAGACACGGACCAGACUCCUACGGGAGGCAGCAGUGAGGAAUAUUGGACAAUGGGUGAGAGCCUGAUCCAGCCAUCCCGCGUGAAGGACGACGGCCCUAUGGGUUGUAAACUUCUUUUGUAUAGGGAUAAACCUACUCUCGUGAGAGUAGCUGAAGGUACUAUACGAAUAAGCACCGGCUAACUCCGUGCCAGCAGCCGCGGUAAUACGGAGGGUGCAAGCGUUAUCCGGAUUUAUUGGGUUUAAAGGGUCCGUAGGCGGAUCUGUAAGUCAGUGGUGAAAUCUCACAGCUUAACUGUGAAACUGCCAUUGAUACUGCAGGUCUUGAGUGUUAUUGAAGUAGCUGGAAUAAGUAGUGUAGCGGUGAAAUGCAUAGAUAUUACUUAGAACACCAAUUGCGAAGGCAGGUUACUAAGCAACAACUGACGCUGAUGGACGAAAGCGUGGGGAGCGAACAGG